UGGCUCUCGCAUCGAUGAAGAACGCAGCGAAAUGCGAUAAGUAAUGUGAAUUGCAGAAUUCAGUGAAUCAUCGAAUCUUUGAACGCACCUUGCGCCCUUUGGUAUUCCGAUGGGCAUGCCUGUUUGAGUGUCUUGAAAUCAUCAAGCCUGCGGAUUCGCUUCUGCGGCUUGGACUUGGGGGAAUUUGCUGCCUCGCGGUGGCUCCCCUCGAAAGCAUCGGUUGGGCGAUGGUCAGGAUCGGUCCAUUGGCGUUGUAAACCCCUCGCCGUGGCCUCCUCUCCUCCGAAAGCCCUCCCACGACUCGCCUGUGGAGCGGCAGUCAGCACAAAUGAAAUCUGACCUCAAAUCAGGUAGGACUACCCGCUGA
Molecule: unclassified non-coding RNA, 367 nt
Filed under: uncultured fungus
Lineage: Eukaryota; Fungi
Description: partial contains 5.8S ribosomal RNA and internal transcribed spacer 2
Rfam family: 5.8S ribosomal RNA (bases 1-133)
Source: RNAcentral